This 520-nucleotide ribosomal RNA is filed under the name uncultured Scutellospora. Its description in RNAcentral is "SSU rRNA". It matches the Rfam family "Eukaryotic small subunit ribosomal RNA", at positions 569 to 1093 of the family's 1831-position model. Lineage: Eukaryota; Fungi; Glomeromycota; Glomeromycetes; Diversisporales; Gigasporaceae. The record is from RNAcentral.
CGCAGCCGCGGUAAUUCCAGCUCCAAUAGCGUAUAUUAAAGUUGUUGCAGUUAAAAAGCUCGUAGUUGAAUUUCGGGGUUCUACCGUUGGUCAGGCUAUUGUCUGUACUGGCGUGUAGAAUUUCUACCUUCUGGGGAACUAUCAUGUUAUUAAUUUAGCGUGGUAGGAAACCAGGACCUUUACCUUGAAAAAAUUAGAGUGUUCAAAGCAGGCUUAUGUCUGAAUACAUUAGCAUGGAAUAAUAAAAUAGGACGGUGGUCCUGUUUUGUUGGUUUCUGAAUCACCGUAAUGAUUAAUAGGGAUAGUUGGGGGCAUUAGUAUUCAAUUGUCAGAGGUGAAAUUCUUGGAUUUAUUGAAGACUAACUACUGCGAAAGCAUUUGCCAAGGAUGUUUUCAUUAAUCAAGAACGAAAGUUAGGGGAUCGAAAGACGAUCAGAUACCGUCGUAGUCUAACCAUAAACUNUGCCGACUAGGGAUCGGACGAUGUUAACUUUUCUUGACUUCGUCGGCGUCCUUACGG